GGUGUGUAGGUGAAGUCCCUGCGGAUGGAGCUGAGACCAGUCGAAGAUACCAGCUGGCUGCAACUGUUUAUUAAAAACACAGCACUGUGCAAACACGAAAGUGGACGUAUACGGUGUGACGCCUGCCCGGUGCCGGAAGGUUAAUUGAUGGGGUUAUCCGUAAGGAGAAGCUCUUGAUCGAAGCCCCGGUAAACGGCGGCCGUAACUAUAACGGUCCUAAGGUAGCGAAAUUCCUUGUCGGGUAAGUUCCGACCUGCACGAAUGGCGUAAUGAUGGCCAGGCUGUCUCCACCCGAGACUCAGUGAAAUUGAACUCGCUGUGAAGAUGCAGUGUACCCGCGGCAAGACGGAAAGACCCCGUGAACCUUUACUAUAGCUUGACACUGAACAUUGAGCCUUGAUGUGUAGGAUAGGUGGGAGGCUUUGAAGCGUGGACGCCAGUCUGCGUGGAGCCAACCUUGAAAUACCACCCUUUAAUGUUUGAUGUUCUAACGUUGGCCCCUGACCGGGGUUGCGGACAGUGUCUGGUGGGUAGUUUGACUGGGGCGGUCUCCUCCCAAAGCGUAACGGAGGAGCACGAAGGUUAGCUAAUCCUGGUCGGACAUCAGGAGGUUAGUGCAAUGGCAUAAGCUAGCUUGACUGCGAGCGUGACGGCGCGAGCAGGUGCGAAAGCAGGUCAUAGUGAUCCGGUGGUUCUGAAUGGAAGGGCCAUCGCUCAACGGAUAAAAGGUACUCCGGGGAUAACAGGCUGAUACCGCCCAAGAGUUCAUAUCGACGGCGGUGUUUGGCACCUCGAUGUCGGCUCAUCACAUCCUGGGGCUGAAGUAGGUCCCAAGGGUAUGGCUGUUCGCCAUUUAAAGUGGUACGCGAGCUGGGUUUAGAACGUCGUGAGACAGUUCGGUCCCUAUCUGCCGUGGGCGCUGGAGAAUUGAGGGGGGCUGCUCCUAGUACGAGAGGACCGGAGUGGACGCAUCACUGGUGUUCGGGUUGUCAUGCCAAUGGCACUGCCCGGUAGCUAAAUGCGGAAGAGAUAAGUGCUGAAAGCAUCUAAGCACGAAACUUGCCCCGAGAUGAGUUCUCCCUGAGACUAUAAGUCUCCUGAAGGAACGUUAAAGACGAUGACGUUGAUAGGCCGGGUGUGUAAGCGCAGCGAUGCGUUGAGCUAACCGGUACUAAUGAACCGUGAGGCUUAACCUU
Molecule: ribosomal RNA, 1196 nt
Filed under: Klebsiella pneumoniae
Lineage: Bacteria; Pseudomonadati; Pseudomonadota; Gammaproteobacteria; Enterobacterales; Enterobacteriaceae
Description: bacterial LSU rRNA
Rfam family: Bacterial large subunit ribosomal RNA
Source: RNAcentral